Molecule: ribosomal RNA, 406 nt
Filed under: uncultured bacterium
Lineage: Bacteria
Description: partial 16S ribosomal RNA
Rfam family: Bacterial small subunit ribosomal RNA
Source: RNAcentral
GACGAACGCUGGCGGCGUGCUUAACACAUGCAAGUCGAACGAGUGGCGAACGGGUGAGUAAUACGUGGGUAACCUGCCCUCUCUUUGGGAUAAGCCUUGGAAACGGGGUCUAAUACCGGCUAAAGGGUGAUGGGCUCGUGGCAGAUCUGCUUGUUGGUGGGGUGAUGGCCCACCAAGGCGGUGACGGGUAGCCGGGCUGAGAGGGUGACGGGCCACGAUGGGACUGCGGUACGGCCCAGACUCGUACGGGGGGGAGCAGUAGGGGAUAUUGCACAAUGGGCGAAAACCUAGUGCAGCGGCGCGGAGUGGGGGAUGAAGGCUUUCGGGUUGUAAACCUCUUUCGCUAGCGAACGGGUAGGUGGAGAAGAAGCGCCGGCUAACUACGUGCCAGCAGCCGCGGUAAUAC